AAUCAAACGUGGACUAAAUGUUUUUUCUCGAAGCGUCUGUCUUUAUUUGACACGCGUUUCUAAAGAACAAAUAUCUAUCUUACGUCUACAUGUGAGCUACUACACUGCGUCCUAUUUAUUGAGAACACUCAAAGGACUUCCCUAAGUGUCGACGUCAUCGUCAAAUUUGCAGAAGCUUGUUUCCAAAAUAAUCACGAUAAAUUUUGGAGCUUUUGCCAAUGCCAAGGGGAACGACGCAGUUUUUACCGGGCAAUAUCACAAGAGAGGAAAAAAUAUUAGUGUCCCAGUGUAUUCUAUAAAAAAUUAUUCUAAUAUAAGUGACAAAGAUGGUAUUUUAGUAUAAUUGAUGAAAAGUUUUCAACACUAUUAUUCUUGAGGUCAAAAUCCAUUCUUCAACUAAAAUAUUUUUAUCACUUAUGACAGAUUUAUAAAUUGGUCGGAUAAAUGCUUCACCAAUAAACCAACCACGAGCUUACGAAAUAAAGAUGAUGCACUCACAAUUAAAAAUAAAUAAUCUAAUAACAUCGGCCAAGCCAAUUGA
Molecule: long non-coding RNA, 541 nt
Organism: Chelonus insularis
Lineage: Eukaryota; Metazoa; Arthropoda; Insecta; Hymenoptera; Braconidae
Exons: 3
Source: RefSeq, a predicted model, not a curated record